This 253-nucleotide ribosomal RNA is filed under the name uncultured bacterium. Its description in RNAcentral is "partial 16S ribosomal RNA". It matches the Rfam family "Bacterial small subunit ribosomal RNA", at positions 524 to 776 of the family's 1533-position model. The record is from RNAcentral.
UACGAGUACCCCGAGCGUUAUCCGGAAUUAUUGGGCGUAAAGGGUAUGUAGGUUGUUAUAUUAGUCUUUUGUCAAAGCCCCCGGCUCAACCGGGGAAUUGCGGGGGAAACGGUAUAACUAGAGGGCGCGAGAGGUUUGCGGAACUCAUGGUGUAGGGGUGAAAUCCGUUGAUAUCAUGGGGAACACCAAAAGCGAAGGCAGCAAACUGGCGCGUUUCUGACGCUGAGAAGCGAAAGCAUGGGGAGCGAACAGG